AGUUUACUAGCUUCCCUGUGUCACCAUGGUGACGGUGGCAGAUGUACCGGCGACCCUUGUGUUAACAGGAUUGUGUGUCGCUCUUCUCAUCACAGGAUCAUCUGGGACCUUCUGUACCACCAGUGUGGCUUCCCUGGAUUUAGGAUGCCUCCUGCGGUGGGAUUGUCCUCAGGCCAACGCUAACACCACCACCUACACCGUCCAAACUAAGACUCAGGGAGAUCCGUGGCAGGACGUGGAGGGGUGUGUGCGGAUCUCCGCCCAGCACUGUGACGUGUCCCAGGCCUUCUCUGACUUUGAACUCUACAACAUGAUCCGCCUGGGCCUCCACCAGGGCCCUGGGAGCCCAGUCUGGACAAAACCACGCAAGUUUGACCCAAGUGAUUUCACCUUCAACAGCCCCUCCAUCUCUGUGUCUCUGUCUAGAGAGAGGCUGGUAGUGGAGGUGCACUUCCCCUGUUCUACCAACAGAGGGUGCUUUCCUCUGCAGAGCUGCUGUCCACUGUCAGAACUGAUUGACCCCUGGGUCACAGUGACCGUAUAUAACCAACAGAACCACUCUGACUACAAGAGGCGUACUGGUUGGGCCCAGGAGGUGGUGUUCAGGGCUGAGUUCUCAGACCUGGUCCCAGGACAGGACUACUGUGCCUUGGCUAACUUCUCCUUUGGACCCCCCACCUUCCCCCUGGCCUCCUCUCCCCCCUCCCACCCACACUGUGUCCACCAGGCUGCCCCAGGACCAGGGUUGCAGCCAGUGUUGUUGGGGAUAGGAGUGUGUGCUGUGCUCUUCUCUUCUCUCCUUGCUCUGGCUCUGUAUCGGCUGAAACAGAAACGAGAUGCACCUCGCAUUAACAGACUCCCCAAGACUCUAGCAACUCUCCAGGCAUCCCUCCAGCACCCCCCAGAGUCCUCUUCAGACCCUGUUGACCCCAGUGACAUCCAUGUGGAGGUUGUGGACGACCACCUCUCCAUCAUGUCUUCCUUGUCCGGCUCUGUCUUCACCAACGCCCAGGCCCCAAGCUUGGGUGACGGGUACAGCAGCAAACCCUUCCCCGGUGACUACAGGUCAGGCAACAUGAACUGGCACACUGGGGAAGACGCUGAGCUGGGCCUGAACUCUGGCAGCACCCUGUCCCUGCCAUGCUCCACUGUGCCUAUAGGGCUACAUAUGACCCAGUGCAACUUCGAUUCACCUCUACGACCACAUCCAGGGCCCACGGUGCCAACACUACCCUACCUUGAUUCUCUUUCUCUGUCAGAGGCUGGGGAGGGCCAGGGGGUCCCUCUGUGCUCAGUGAGGUUUGGGGGGGCGAGUGAAGGGGGUGAGAACCUGGAGGGACUACAGUGGUGUAACCGGUCGCAUGUUGAACUGCAGUACCCAUAAUGCUCUGUACAACAUAUUCUGAUGAACUCCACAGUGCAGUUGAUUUUGGAGGAGAUGAGAUGGGACAGAACUGGACCCAAUGAAAAGUAAUGGUGGUCCUAUGUAGCUCCGCUGUUAAAAAGCAAUGGCACUAUCAAACGGCAGGGUUGUGGAUUAGAUUCUGCACUCACUGUAGUGUAGGUCGCUAUGGAUACAAGUUGAACGUCUGCUGAGUGGCAUUGGUAACCUGGUUCUGCUUUAUAUAGCUGUCGAAGGCGACAUGGCUGGGAACUGAAGCGCCAAGCUCAGUUUGAACAACAACACUGACAACCACAGCUUUGUUUUACACCGUUUGUUUCGUAGGGUUCACAAUAUGGACCACUUCUGUCAUCCGCAGAGCCGGGGUGAUGACAGAUUGAUGAACAAAUCAAUAGGGCUCCUGUUGGAGCGAGCAGAGCCUCUGAUUCACAGGUACAGCUGAGUCUUUGGGAGGGUUUGCUUGAGGGGUGCUGAGAGUAGUGUGUCAAGUUCAAAAACGUUAUUGUCCAUGUUUGUUUAAAAUGGGAAUUUAUCUUUGGCUUACGGGCAUACAUUUUCAGUUACAGCCGGGGGGGGGUGUUCUUUCAGAGGUCUAUGGAGAGCAAUAUUUGUUUCAGGAGAUCCCCUCCCCCAUCCUUCACUGGACUGUGAUAUGGAUAAUGGCGAUUUUAGCAUGUAAAUUUUGGUGUGGCAAAAAAAAAUGUGGGCAGCAAAGCCACAACACAACACUAAACAAUACCUUAAUUGCACUAUAAUGGUGACAAACGGUGC
Oncorhynchus tshawytscha (Chinook salmon) is the source of this 2173-nucleotide long non-coding RNA. NCBI's taxonomy places the organism in Eukaryota, Metazoa, Chordata, Actinopteri, Salmoniformes, Salmonidae. The record is from Ensembl.